UACGGAGGGUGCAAGCGUUAUCCGGAAUCACUGGGCAUAAAGCGCACGUAGGCGGUCUGUUAAGUCAGAUAUGAAAGCCCCCGGCUCAACCGGGGAACAGCAUUCGAUACUGGCAGACUCGAGGAUGGUAGGGGUGAGUGGAACUCCAGGUGGAGCGGUGAAAUGCGUAGAUAUCUGGAGGAACACCGGUGGCGAAAGCGGCUCACUGGACCAUUACUGACGCUGAGGUGCGAAAGCUAGGGUAGCAAACGGG
Molecule: ribosomal RNA, 253 nt
Filed under: uncultured bacterium
Lineage: Bacteria
Description: partial 16S ribosomal RNA
Rfam family: Bacterial small subunit ribosomal RNA
Source: RNAcentral